Molecule: non-coding RNA, 1235 nt
Organism: Anas platyrhynchos (mallard)
Lineage: Eukaryota; Metazoa; Chordata; Aves; Anseriformes; Anatidae
Source: RefSeq, a predicted model, not a curated record
UUUUCAAAGGAAUGAGGAGAAUGUACAUAUGUGUUUGCCUCAGUGAUGGUGUACAGUCUGUGUACAAAGGCAUAUAGACAUGAUUGAUGUCAACAUGUUUCCCUGUUUCUAGCCAAGCUGGCAGCACCAGCUUAUUCUGAAAGAGAGGAAAUUGAUUUCCACCCAUUUACAGAAAAUCUAGUUUAUUAACAGUAGAUCAGACAAAAAGAACUGUUUCUCAUAGCUUGCUAGAACAUGCAGGGAAGGAAACAGCCAUGAUUUGGCUACUGGCAGCUCCGCAGCUGCAUGGCCAGACCCGCACCACCCACGUCACAGCGUGCGGCAGGCAGCACUGGCACGGGGCAGGGAAGUUACAGCCCUCCUGGGUGAAUCAGUGACCGGCUUAUCUGCGAACUCAGAAUAAAAGCACAACCUUCUGGUGUGUAAUAACGAGCUGCAUAAGAACUGGGGAAAUGCUUACAAAACCUUACUGUGUAUCUACUCUUCAAAGUGAGCUAGACUGCCCUAGCCGUGGCACGCCAGAUCUGUGCUGGUUAAUUUACUCUGUUCAUCGUCUAGAGCUACUUGAGAUGUGUUUUCAUUACCCCCCAGUCAGAUGAAAACAAGUUACCACGUGAACAACUUGUAGUAUGACCGACAUUAUAGAAAGAAAGAGCUCAAUACCUGUAUUUUGCAUGCUGUGUCUCAGCUUCUGUGGUGGAGCAGUGGUGCAGGCCAUGGGAAAUAACAAUGGGAACGACAGUCCCUGUGGAAAGGAGACCGUGAUGUUCUGCUCUCAGAUUCAGUCUGGGCACAGACCUCAAAAGCUGGAGCAGGCCUUCUGCUGUCAGUAGGUUUAGUGGAGAUGGGGUUAAUCCAGGUAGAAAUUAAGGAACAUCCUGAAAGAUGCCCUGGCUGUGGAAACAAAAGAAAGGAAUUAGGAGGGAGGUUGUUCGGACAAGCAUGUUUGCGCAAGUAGAGCUGAGAGAUGCUGGAUUUUAAGAAAAAGUAGUAAUUACUGGAUUGAAGACCUUAAUUCCUCUUGACAAACUGAAGAGGUCUGAUGCUGUGUGGAUAGGGUUCGUAUUAAAUGGGGCUCCUUCCAGGCCAUGCGGAACAUCUGAAGAGCAGCAAUGGUUUGUAAGGUGCCAGGCAUUGCUCCCCUCUGUGAGAAGUUUGAAGCUUUUUCUUUGCUUUAUUAUUUCUGUCUUGGAAUGUAAAACUUUACACAUGCACUAAAACUUGAAUAUAUUUAA